RNAcentral lists this ribosomal RNA (1114 nucleotides) under Ampliotrema sp. RL-2012a. Its description in RNAcentral is "eukaryotic LSU rRNA". It matches the Rfam family "Eukaryotic large subunit ribosomal RNA", at positions 88 to 1168 of the family's 3401-position model. The record is from RNAcentral. Lineage: Eukaryota; Fungi; Ascomycota; Lecanoromycetes; Ostropales; Graphidaceae.
UGCGAGUGGAAGCGGCAACAGCUCAAACCGGAGGGUCUGGACUUGCGUCCGAGUUGUAAUUUGUAGAAGGUGCUUCGGGCGCGGCUCCGGUCCAAGUUCUUUGGAACAGGGCGUCGCAGAGGGUGAGAAUCCCGUACGCGGCCGGCGGCCAAGCCCAGGUGAAGCCCUUUCGACGAGUCGAGUUGUUUGGGAAUGCAGCUCCAAAUAGGUGGUAAAUUUCAUCUAAAGCUAAAUAUCUGCCGGAGACCGAUAGCGCACAAGUAGAGUGAUCGAAAGAUGAAAAGCACUUUGAAAAGAGAGUCAAACAGUACGUGAAAUUGUUGAAAGGGAAGCGCUUGCAACCAGACUCGUUCGCGGGUGCUCAGCCGCUCUUCGGGGCGGUGCAUUCUCCCGCGUCGGGCCAGCAUCGGUUUCGGCGUCCGGACAAAGGCCUCGGGAACGUAGCUUUCUUCGGAAAGUGUUAUAGCCCGGGGUGCAAUGCGGCCAGCCGGGACCGAGGAACGCGCAUCGCUAGGAUGCUGGCGUAAUGGUUGCCAGCGACCCGUCUUGAAACACGGACCAAGGAGUCGACCAACCAAGCGAGUGUUUGGGCGUAAAACCCUCUCGCGCAAUGAAAGUGAACGGAGGUGAGAGCCUUCUGGCGCAUCAUCGACCGAUCCUGAUGUCUUCGGAUGGAUUUGAGUAAGAGCCUGGCUGGUCGGACCCGAAAAAUGGUGAACUAUGCGUGAAUAGGGUGAAGCCAGAGGAAACUCUGGUGGAGGCUCGCAGCGGUUCUGACGUGCAAAUCGAUCGUCAAAUUUGCGCAUAGGGGCGAAAGACUAAUCGAACCAUUUUAGGUACGUCACUUCGCAUUGGGGGAUUUUUUGAAUGUUGAACGCUAACUCAAAAUAGUAGCUGGUUCCCGUCGAAGUUUCCCUCAGGAUAGCAGCAACGCAAAAAUCAGUUUCAUGAGGUAGAGCAAACGAUUAGAGGUCUUGGGGUUGCAAUCGACCUUAACCUAUUCUCGAACUUCGAAUAUGUGAGAAGUCCUUGUUACUUUGUUGAACGUGGACGCUCGAAUGUAUCGACAUGCCCCUGGGGCCAUUUUUGGGUAUGGCAACCUGGCGGACUCUAC